Molecule: ribosomal RNA, 253 nt
Filed under: uncultured bacterium
Lineage: Bacteria
Description: partial 16S ribosomal RNA
Rfam family: Bacterial small subunit ribosomal RNA
Source: RNAcentral
UACAGAGGGUGCGAGCGUUGUUCGGAAUUAUUGGGCGUAAAGGGCGCGUAGGCGGUGCGGUAAGUCACUUGUGAAAUCUCCUGGCUCAACUGGGAGCUUGCAGGCGAAACUGCCGUGCUGGAGUGUGGGAGAGGUGAGUGGAAUUCCCGGUGUAGCGGUGAAAUGCGUAGAUAUCAGGAGGAACACCAGCGGUGUAGACGGCUUUCUGGACCAUUGCUGACUCUGAGACACGAAAGCGUGGGGAGCAAACAGG